CUCUCAUUGUAUUCUAAACUGGACAUUGCUGAUCACAAGCAUUUUAGAAAUAGAAGUGAAGUUCCAUGCAACUAUUUCACAUGAAAAUGGGCACUUUAAAGUACCAUCAUAAAAUGAGUAGUCCUAUUCUGGAAAGAUAAAUAGAAUGUCCCAAGGUCGAAGGCAGCCAGGCAGUCAAUAACUGUGUGCUAGAACAGCCUCAGCUCUUGAGAAGCUCACGAUCCAAUGGGGGAGACAGCCUUCAAAGAACUAUGGGCCAAUGCACUACAUAUAGACAACACUGGAACUAACUGACAAAGGGAUGGGACCAGAAGGAAAAGGAUCAGCUGAGUAAAAGUCUGGGGGAGGCAAGAGGACCAAGGAGGAAACUGCUUCUUGUUGGGUCAGCAUUCCCAGAAACAGAUGCCUCUGCAGAAUUAAAAGUCUUGGAAGCCCCUGGGCCACGUGAAGCAGUUUUUUUGUUUUGUGACCAUUUGAAAGAGAAAAACAAUACGGAUGUAAAGAGAACGCUUUUCUCCAUUUUGCAAUAAAAGUAUUUUGUCUAUAUC
Non-coding RNA from Monodelphis domestica (gray short-tailed opossum), 548 nucleotides. Lineage: Eukaryota; Metazoa; Chordata; Mammalia; Didelphimorphia; Didelphidae. The record is from RefSeq and is a predicted model, not a curated record.